CCCUCGUUCGGUAGGAAGAAACAACCGAACGAGGGGAUUCAUGUGAACCCUCCCUGAUCUCUGUAACCUUAGCCUUUCAUGCAGUUUGUUCCCUUAUACUGUGACCGACCGCAGGGCCCCAUCGCAUGGAACCCAAUUCGGCUGUUCUCUCCAGCGCGGUCGGUCUUUUCAUUACCUCCACAAAUUUCCCGAACCCCUGGUCCGAUCUGGG
Molecule: non-coding RNA, 211 nt
Organism: Pelobates cultripes (western spadefoot toad)
Lineage: Eukaryota; Metazoa; Chordata; Amphibia; Anura; Pelobatidae
Source: the annotation of a GenBank genome assembly